GAUGAACGCUGGCGGCGUGCCUAAUACAUGCAAGUCGAGCGAACAGACGAGGAGCUUGCUCCUCUGACGUUAGCGGCGGACGGGUGAGUAACACGUGGAUAACCUACCUAUAAGACUGGGAUAACUUCGGGAAACCGGAGCUAAUACCGGAUAAUAUAUUGAACCGCAUGGUUCAAUAGUGAAAGACGGUUUUGCUGUCACUUAUAGAUGGAUCCGCGCCGCAUUAGCUAGUUGGUAAGGUAACGGCUUACCAAGGCGACGAUGCGUAGCCGACCUGAGAGGGUGGUCGGCCACACUGGAACUGAGACACGCACCAGACUCCUACGGGAGGCAGCAGUAGGGAAUCUUCCGCAAUGGGCGAAAGCCUGACGGAGCAACGCCGCGUGAGUGAUGAAGGUCUUCGGAUCGUAAAACUCUGUUAUUAGGGAAGAACAAAUGUGUAAGUAACUAUGCACGGCUUGACGGUACCUAAUCAGAAAGCCACGGCUAACUACGUG
This 497-nucleotide ribosomal RNA is filed under the name uncultured bacterium. RNAcentral's name for it is "partial 16S ribosomal RNA". It matches the Rfam family "Bacterial small subunit ribosomal RNA", at positions 28 to 507 of the family's 1533-position model. The record is from RNAcentral.